UUCUUUCUUCCUCUGCCAUUUCAGUUAUGGAGGCUUGUGUUGAUGUGGAGGUGCAGUGAUGUGGAAGUGGCCUGAGAUGCUGAGCUCACAGUGUAUUCACCUCUUUUUGGACUAUGGUUGACUGGAUAAAUGAGACCACAGGAAACAAAACUGCGGAGAAAGGGGACUUCUUUCUGUCUAGACAGAAGCUGAAGGAUUGCCGAAGUUUUGAAGCUAUCACAGCCAAGCCUCAUCUCCAGCCAAGUGGUUAGCAGACUCCCUUGUGGCAGUUUUACCAAUUGGAUUUUUAAUGUUUCAUUCCAUUUUAGCUCAGCUUCUAGGACAGAAUCUGUGAUAUAGAGGUGAAUAAUAUAUUCAAAUGAAUGAGGACGACAGCUCUGUCAACAGUUCAGAGAGUCCCAGAAAGGGCCUACUGUCUUCUCAUGGUUUUACAUUUUCCUGCCUGCCACCCAUCCUGCAGCGUCUUCCCUGACACAGCCUGAGCUUCUUUAGCACUCCCACCCAAAUUUCCUUUUAUUUCUGUGCCUUUGGCAAUUGCUUUUCCUCUACUUGCCUCCAAUAUGAGGCAGAAAUGUUAAUAUGAUCUCUUACUCUCCUCUCCAGUUCUCUUUGUUUCUCAGAACAUUCUAGAGAGCAUCUAGUAAUAGUGACAGCCCAUGUCUCUGUAUUCCUUGCUUUCCUUCAUCUGAUUAAAUAAUACUGAGGAACAGAAUCUUG
Molecule: long non-coding RNA, 717 nt
Filed under: Homo sapiens (human)
Lineage: Eukaryota; Metazoa; Chordata; Mammalia; Primates; Hominidae
Description: HSALNT0093894
Source: RNAcentral